AUUAUGUUGGAUUUUUGUAUUAUACUCUCUUAUCAUAUUCUGGGAAUUUAAUUUGAUAUUUUCCCUUGCAAAAUUGUAAAUUUUGUUCAUUUUCUCUGAUAAAUUUUGUAUAUAAUCUGAAAUGUUGCAUCUUUCAGGGUCAGGUCUCCCAAGUACUAGAUCAAUAGGGAGUGCAACUUGUUGACCAAAGACCAUCUCAUUUGGGCUCACCCCUGUGGAUUCAUGUACUGAGGAUCUAUAAGCCAACAUGAGUAAAGGAUCUUGAGAAGUAGAUGGUAAAGAAGUUUCAUGAUUUCCAGAGCGAGUGACAAUCUGGCAUGAUUCAGACUGAUGGGUCACUGAUGCCUGUUUGGGAGAAGAUACAGCAUGGUCAUCUCUGGAUAACCUGGGUGAUCCCAUACAAGAUCUGGGAUUAAAAACUAUUUCUCCAGAGUCUUCUAAGUCACUGUUAUUUUGGGACAUUUUUUUAUUAAAUCUUUUACGAAAAAUUUUCAAUUU
Molecule: long non-coding RNA, 498 nt
Organism: Saccostrea cuccullata (small rock oyster)
Lineage: Eukaryota; Metazoa; Mollusca; Bivalvia; Ostreida; Ostreidae
Exons: 3
Source: RefSeq, a predicted model, not a curated record